UGUCGCGGUGGGGAAGCGGUCAACCCGCCUGGUUCAUACCCAGGAGAUCGGCGGUUCGAAUCCGUCCCGCGCAACCA
This 77-nucleotide transfer RNA is filed under the name Emiliania huxleyi virus PS401. RNAcentral describes it as "tRNA-Met". It matches the Rfam family "tRNA". Rfam says of the family: Transfer RNA (tRNA) molecules are approximately 80 nucleotides in length. Their secondary structure includes four short double-helical elements and three loops (D, anti-codon, and T loops). The record is from RNAcentral. Lineage: Varidnaviria; Bamfordvirae; Nucleocytoviricota; Megaviricetes; Algavirales; Phycodnaviridae.